AAAAAAAAGAAAAAGAAGGAAGGAACAGAAGCAUAAACCAGACUCCGGGACAGAAGCUCGAGGAAUGUCAGAUUUUCAACAAAAAGUAGCACAAAUCA
Long non-coding RNA from Salarias fasciatus (jewelled blenny), 98 nucleotides. RefSeq lists it as uncharacterized. Lineage: Eukaryota; Metazoa; Chordata; Actinopteri; Blenniiformes; Blenniidae. The transcript is spliced from 3 exons. The record is from RefSeq and is a predicted model, not a curated record.